GAUGAACGCUGGCGGCGUGCCUAAUACAUGCAGGUCGAGCGAACAGACGAGGAGCUUGCUCCUCUGAUGUUAGCGGCGGACGGGUGAGUAACACGUGGAUAACCUACCUAUAAGACUGGGAUAACUUCGGGAAACCGGAGCUAAUACCGGAUAACAUGUUGAACCGCAUGGUUCAACAGUGAAAGACGGUUUUGCUGUCACUUAUAGAUGGAUCCGCGCCGCAUUAGCUAGUUGGUAAGGUAACGGCUUACCAAGGCAACGAUGCGUAGCCGACCUGAGAGGGUAAUCGGCCACACUGGAACUGAGACACGGUCCAGACUCCUACGGGAGGCAGCAGUAGGGAAUCUUCCGCAAUGGGCGAAAGCCUGACGGAGCAACGCCGCGUGAGUGAAGAAGGUCUUCGGAUCGUAAAACUCUGUUAUUAGGGAAGAACAAAUGUGUAAGUAACUAUGCACGUCUUGACGGUACCUAAUCAGAAAGCCACGGCUAACUACGUG
RNAcentral lists this ribosomal RNA (497 nucleotides) under uncultured bacterium. Its description in RNAcentral is "partial 16S ribosomal RNA". It matches the Rfam family "Bacterial small subunit ribosomal RNA", at positions 28 to 507 of the family's 1533-position model. The record is from RNAcentral.